RNAcentral lists this long non-coding RNA (536 nucleotides) under Phoenix dactylifera (date palm). RNAcentral's name for it is "long non-coding RNA (PDAC_LNC014984)". Lineage: Eukaryota; Viridiplantae; Streptophyta; Magnoliopsida; Arecales; Arecaceae. The record is from RNAcentral.
UAAAAUAAUUCAACUGAAAUAAAUGCAAUCUUACUCCAUUGACUGACCCAAAUUAUAUAGUCUCACAGUUCUAAAUACGCAGCGGAACAAUAAAGAUAAAACAUCAAUUUAAAUAAAGCCUAAUCUAGAAUGACUUGUGCUUCAGUUCUUCUAGUCGCUCUCCCAUUUUAAAUCCCCGAUAGGUUAGUUCUCAGAAUCUGUAAAACAACAAGAAAUCAUAUAAUGAGCUAGACAGCCCAGUAAGUAAUAAACACCUUAACUAGUCAAUUCAUAUAAUAACAUAAAAUAUAAAUACAAAUUACGAUGAAUCAACAUAAUAACAUAAUCAAUUCCUUUUCAAGUACAAAUUCAUUAAAAUUCGUAUUUUUCAAAUAUCUAUAUACAUAAUCAUAAAUCUGAUUCGAAACAAAUCAUAUUCAUCUCAUCAGCCUUUAGCUACGACCACACUUAUACCCUGUGGCUAGGCCAGAAACAGAACCGCACUUAUACCCUGCGGAGUGGGCCAGAAUACUGCACUUAUACCCUGCGGAGUGGGC